UAAUGUCAAAGGUACAAAGGUCAGAAAGCCGUUCAUGCUUGCAUGAUAAGGCUUUUGAACUUGGGACCUGCCAAAUAUGAGGAAGAAGUGAUUUGAGCAGCAAAUCAGCGGAUUCCAAAUAUUUGCAGAAUUGCGAAAGCAGAUUUCUGCGGAGCAAUUCGUUGACAUUG
This 170-nucleotide small RNA is filed under the name Roseburia sp. CAG:303. Its description in RNAcentral is "Clostridiales-1 RNA". It matches the Rfam family "Clostridiales-1 RNA". The record is from Rfam by way of RNAcentral. Lineage: Bacteria; Bacillati; Bacillota; Clostridia; Lachnospirales; Lachnospiraceae.